AAGAUCAUUAUGUUGAUUUCAUAGCAAACUAGAAUGUAAGGCUGCUCAGCUAUAUUUUACCUCUUAAUCUAAUUAAACAUUAAUAUCUCUAUUAUUGAUUGCAUUAUAGAUUCAGUAACUGAUAAAACUUUCCUCUGAGAUGGAUCAUGUUCCUAAAACUAGAAUGUAAGAUCAUUAUGUUGAUUUCAUAGCAAACUAGAAUGUAAGGCUGCUCAGCUAUAUUUUACCUCUUAAUCUAAUUAAACAUUAAUAUCUCUAUUAUUGAUUGCAUUAUAGAUUCAGUAACUGAUAAAACUUUCCUCUGAGAUGGAUCAUGUUCCUAAAACUAGAA
RNAcentral lists this unclassified non-coding RNA (331 nucleotides) under Hevea brasiliensis (rubber tree). The record is from RNAcentral. Lineage: Eukaryota; Viridiplantae; Streptophyta; Magnoliopsida; Malpighiales; Euphorbiaceae.